GUAGGUAUAGUUAAAUAAGAACGUUAGAUUGUGAUUCUAAAGACAGGGGUUAAACUCCCCUUACCCACC
RNAcentral lists this transfer RNA (69 nucleotides) under Brachyistius frenatus (kelp perch). RNAcentral describes it as "tRNA-His". It matches the Rfam family "tRNA". From Rfam's summary of the family: Transfer RNA (tRNA) molecules are approximately 80 nucleotides in length. Their secondary structure includes four short double-helical elements and three loops (D, anti-codon, and T loops). Further hydrogen bonds mediate the characteristic L-shaped molecular structure. tRNAs have two regions of fundamental functional importance: the anti-codon, which is responsible for specific mRNA codon recognition, and the 3' end, to which the tRNAs corresponding amino acid is attached (by aminoacyl-tRNA synthetases). tRNAs cope with the degeneracy of the genetic code in two manners: having more than one tRNA (with a specific anti-codon) for a particular amino acid; and 'wobble' base-pairing, i.e. permitting non-standard base-pairing at the 3rd anti-codon position. The record is from RNAcentral. Lineage: Eukaryota; Metazoa; Chordata; Actinopteri; Embiotocidae.